RNAcentral lists this long non-coding RNA (3723 nucleotides) under Homo sapiens (human). Its description in RNAcentral is "HSALNT0062377". The record is from RNAcentral. Lineage: Eukaryota; Metazoa; Chordata; Mammalia; Primates; Hominidae.
CUGUGAGGCAAACCCCAGCCAUAUCUCCAGCACACAAGAACUUCCAAACGCCUGAACUGCAGCGGCCAGGCAUUCUCCAGAACCUCCUCCCCCAGGAGCUUGCUACAAGUGCCAAAAAUCUGGCCACCAGGCCAAGGAAUGCCCGCAGCCCACCUGAACUGCAGCGGCCAGGCGUUCCUCCAGAACCUCCUACCCCAGGAGCUUGCUACAAGUGCCAAAAAUCUGGCCACCAGGCCAAGGAAUGCCCGCAGCCCGAGAUUCCUCCUAAGCCAUGUCCCAUCUGUGCAGGACUCCACUGGAAAUUGGACUGUUCAACUCACCUGGCAGCCACUCCCAGAGCCCCUGGAACUCUGGCCCAAGGCUCUCUGACUGACUCCUUCCCAGAUCUUCUCGGCUUAGCGGCUGAAGACUGACGCCGCCCGGUCACCUCGGAAGCCCCGUAGACCAUCACAGAUGCCGAGCUUUAAGUAACUCUCACAGUGGAAGGGCUCCAGCUGGGUGAACUAUGGGGCAUUUGCCCGGAGUUCAUGCUCAGCAUCAGGGUCAAAGCAAAGGGAACUCUGACAAUGAUUCCAUUGUGAACUUGUUCUGGGAAUGCCAUGAUGAUUCUCUAUCAUGUUCCUCGUACACUGCACCAGCACCACUGCUUCCCUUCCCAGUGAGAACCCGAUCAAGCUUUAUCAUGCAGCCCAGAAGGGUGGGGGAAAGAAAAAGAAUUAGGAGAAAAUGUUGUAAAAGUAAUGAGAUAAUAUGAGAAUGUGCUUUGGGAACUGCGAAUCUGGAGUCACUGGUCCAUGAGGAAUCUAGGAUAAGAAGAAGGAAGCUGUGAAGAAUGGUUGGCUAACAGUGCUGGCAAGGAAUUCAGAUCAACAUACCUCUCAAAAGAAUGGAAGUCUCUUAAACUCAGGUAAUUGUUAAAUUGGUUCAAGUGUAUUAUGGCAAGAAUGCUUCUCUCUCCUUCCCUAAUAUAACACUGCCCUAAAUGACUCCCUACCUCCCUGUUUUGUCUCACGCUUGACAGUGAAAACAAAGAUAAAUAUUUGAGGAAACAUAAACUCAAUAAUGUCAUUUAUUGGAAAGCUACAGUUUACAGAUUCUUUGCAUUUAUUACCAGAGCUGUUCCUUACAACAACUUUAUCUGAACAGUAUUAUUAGCUACAUGCUGUAGAUGAGAAAAGCAGUGCUCAACGAAACUAACUUGCCCUAGAGUAUCCAUCCAGUAACUGGUGAAGCUGGGAUUUCAACUUCCUUUUCUUUUUUCUUUCUUUUUUUAAAAAUCUUAAUUCUGAAGCUGUUAUGCAUUAUGGAACCUGUGUAGUUCCGUUCUGAGUUCUACUAUCUGGUUCAGAAUCUUGGCUCUACCACUUCAGCCCUCCCCCUCGCUCCAGGAAAGAAAUCACACAAGCUUUUGGGGGGAAAGAUUAGAAUGGAAAGGUCUGAAAUACAAGAGGAAAACCAUAAAAGUGUGUGUGCCCAGAGGGAAGAGAGGAGAGAAUUUCAAUAAGAAUGGGAUGAUUACCUGUGUAAUCAGGUAAUCAGCUAAUAUAGAUGAAAACAGUAUUUUGCAUUGCGAUAUUAGAUAGUUAUAGGCCAACUUUGCCAGAAAACUUUAGCAGAGUGCAGACAGAAAUGAGAUAAUAGUCUGUUAUAGGCAGGGAGAAUGUGGAGACAGGAGAAAGAAACUGAAAACACAGGAGAGGGAUGAGACGCUGGUAAAUAUUUCUUAACAGACCCCAGAGAAGUAGGCAAGACCAUCUAAAGGAGAGACAGAUGCAUGAGUCUUGGAAAUCAGAUGGUAAAAACCUGGUGGCAGGUUUGAAUGUCUCUGUGAAGUAAGAGAGAAGGGUGCUGCUAGGGAAAGGGAUUAGGGUGAAGGAGCAGCAAGGAAGGUGAAGGACAACUGGACAGUUUGCACGUGGAUGGUUUUGACUUGCCAUUGUGAGGGAUGACAAAAACUGCAUUCUCUGAGCAUAAACAUGGUUGGCCAGAUAGUCUGCAGGCCAACUGUGAGUGUAAAUUUGGAGCAGCACCUAUCUGAAGGGUGGUGUGGUUUCCCCACCAGAAUUCAAGAACCUAAAAUAAUGGAGUGGUUUAGGAUUAGGGCUGGGGCCAAGUGUGAUAGCUCACGUUGGUAAUCACAGCACUUUGGGAGCCCAAGGCAGGAGGAUCUGUAGAGUCCAGGAGUUCGAGACCAGCCUUGGCAACAUAGCAAGAACCUGUCUCUACAAAAAAUAGAUAAAUUUUUAAAAAUAAAAAAAAGAUUAGGGCUAGGUAGGUAAAAUAGAUAGGUUUAGGAAAGGACAAAGAAUAUGAGGGAAACAGGAAUGCUAACAGAACUGGCUAAAGUGAUAAAGGAGAAAGAGGGCUGUCUAUCUGAAUAUAAAAGCAGUCGAGCUUGGUUGGGGUUGUGAGCUGGUGAAACAAGCAGAGUACAAAGUAAUGAGGCUUCUCUAGGACAAAAAACGGUGGUGAUGAAACAUCCUCGGUCAGAUUUCAUCUAAAGGCAAGGUGAGCACACAUAGGACAUUGCUGAUUAAAUUGGAAAACUCCCUCUGUGUCUCAACCCUGGAAAUAUUAAAAUGAAUACAUUAUUAAACACUACUUUUUAUCCUAAUAUAAACCAUUUUAAACAGACUCCUCUUCCAGCUAAAUCCGAAAUAGCAUUAGAAUAUGAUGAGCUUAUAAAUCAGUAAUGGUCUGUAGAUGUAUCUUAUUAUUUCUUUUUCCUUUGGGGGUAGGUAAUAUUGUUUUUGUCUGUCCGUGCUUUGCUUAGAAGCCAUCCAAGUCAUCUACCCAAACCCAAGAAACAUGAUAGCAGAAAGCCCAUUUAAGUAAUUCUUAUAAGUGAUAUCUUUAGAGUCUUCUUGAAAAUAUAAAAGGGAAAUGAGAAACCACCACACAAAUCUCAAUGUUCAAAUUUCAAGAUCUUAAUCUAUUUUAUUUAUGGACUUGAUUGGGAAUAAAGAAAAGCUAGUCACCUUUUUUUCUUUUUCUUUUUCUUUUCUUUUCUUUUUUUUUUUUUUUUUUGAGACAGAGUCUCAUUCUGUCUCCCAGGCUGGAGUGCAGUGGCGUGAUCCCGGCUCACCACAGCCUCCACCUCCUGGGUUCAAGCGAUUCUCUUGCCUCAGCCACCUGAGUAGCUGAGAUUACAGGCAUGCUCCACCAUUCCUGGCUAAUUUUUGUAUUUUUAGUACAGACAGGGUUUCACCAUGUUGUCUAGGCUGAUCUGGAAUGCCUGCGCUCAAGUGAUCCGCCUGCCUUGGCCUCCCAAAGUGCUGGGAUUACAGGCGUGAACCAUCGUCCCCGGCCCCCAAAACUAGUCACUUUCUAUUCACGCACAGGAAAACAACCUAUUUCCAGUCAGAUCUCUGGUUCUCAUGUUGAAAGAUGGCAGAAAGCAAAAGGAGGAGGAGCAAUUUUGAUAGCUAAAUAAAACUCAUUUAUCACCAGUUUCUAUAUUUUUGUGUGUUUGAUAGAUUUUCGCCUUGUGUUACUUGUUUGUUUAAAAACUGAUGAAAAUCUUAAGAAAUUUAAAAGGAAUUUGUCAUUACUUAAGGACAGCAGAAGGGUUUCUUUUUCUUGUUUUCCUCUCACCUCUUUAUGAACUCAGUAUUAGUUGAUUCUCUAUGUUAAUAGCAAUAUAGACACUAUAAAUACAAAUCUAGAGAAAAUCCCAGACUUAAUAUUUGCUGAAAUUGCCCAAGAAAAUGAGACAUCAAUUCU